This 21-nucleotide microRNA is filed under the name Picea abies (Norway spruce). RNAcentral's name for it is "pab-miR11509". The record is from miRBase by way of RNAcentral. Lineage: Eukaryota; Viridiplantae; Streptophyta; Pinopsida; Pinales; Pinaceae.
UCAUGAGCAUUGUGGAUGAUC